CAGCCGCCACGGUAAUACGGAGGGUGCAAGCGUUAAUCGGAAUUACUGGGCGUAAAGCGCACGCAGGCGGUCUGACAAGUCAGAUGUGAAAUCCCCGGGCUUAACCUGGGAACUGCAUUUGAAACUGUCAGGCUGGAGUCUUGUAGAGGGGGGUGGAAUUCCAGGUGUAGCGGUAAAAUGCGUAGAGAUCUGGAGGAAUACCGGUGGCGAAGGCGGCCCCCUGGACAAAGACUGACGCUCAGGUGCGAAAGCGUGGGGAGCAAACAGGAUUAGAUACCCCUGUAGUCCCUGUCUCUUAUAC
RNAcentral lists this ribosomal RNA (301 nucleotides) under uncultured bacterium. RNAcentral describes it as "partial 16S ribosomal RNA". It matches the Rfam family "Bacterial small subunit ribosomal RNA", at positions 509 to 807 of the family's 1533-position model. The record is from RNAcentral.